UGAGAGCACUCAAUGGAUUUAGUAAAUCAAUAUAUUAAAUCUAACGCAUCCAAAUUUGUAUGCGUUAUAUUUAAUAUAUUGAUUUACUAAAUCCAUUGAGUGCUCUCA
This is a non-coding RNA of Pelobates cultripes (western spadefoot toad), 108 nucleotides long. The record is from the annotation of a GenBank genome assembly. NCBI's taxonomy places the organism in Eukaryota, Metazoa, Chordata, Amphibia, Anura, Pelobatidae.